UCAGGCCUUCGGCUCAUCUGUCAUUUAUAAGCCUCCACAAUUCAACAAAUUAUGAGGGGCAUAAAAAAAUAAUGAAAUCUUUUGUGGUUUCUCCCCGGUGCGUUUAACUCCCCAAAAGGCCCCUAAUAUAUCUUCGAAUUGCUCGUAUCUAAACGAUUUCAGCGGCCUUUUCCAAUUGUAACGACUCUCUUGGAUUUCGAAAAGAACUUUCGUGUUUCAAACUUCCUAUCCGCCGAGAUUAUUGUUUCGAUCUCCUUUGGACACGAUUGCACACAAAACCGGAACAUCGAGUACGGCAAAACGGAGCGAUUACGGACGCGAUCACGAUGAUGGGUUACGAUUAGAUGGUUAGGAUGUGCCAGAUGGAUCGGAUCGAAUGGAAGGUCGGAAAAAUUCGAAAACGCUGCGGAUGCGGCUGCGGAUGCGGAUAAGCGGACUUCGAGUGCUACUGCGACUGCGGACGCUCCGCUCACUGUGUGUUCCCAAAGCGUGCUAGUCAGAGACUGAAACCAUGAGCAAAAAGACCCUGUCGAUGAGGCGACGCUUCGUGCGUUCAUGCCGAGCACGUUUGCGGCGGGGCGAGCGCGAGAGAGAGAGUGCGAUGCGGCGCCGUGCGGCGGGAGGGAGAUGGGGAGAGUGAGAGCGAGUAGUGGGCGAGUCAGGUAAACGACAAGAAUGGUCAGCUAUAGUGAAUGGGUGACCAUUCCAGGUGUGAUAUGGGUUUAUCCAUGAUUCCCAAUUCAUCCUUGCGAUCUGACGAAACUGCGGCUUAAGUGAAUGAAACGGUGCUAACUCUCUGAUUCAUCCAUUAGUCCACUAGAGCUAGCAUCAAAAAUACCGGUAUAAUUAUCAUUGCUAAUUAUACUUUGUAGCUAAAAAAGUUAUUAAUUUAAAUGAGAAGAUGAUAAUAUUUAAUUACAAAUAUGUAAAACUAUUGUUUUACUCACUUGGUGCUUAAAAA
Long non-coding RNA from Drosophila teissieri, 961 nucleotides. RefSeq lists it as uncharacterized. The transcript has 2 exons. NCBI's taxonomy places the organism in Eukaryota, Metazoa, Arthropoda, Insecta, Diptera, Drosophilidae. The record is from RefSeq and is a predicted model, not a curated record.